GACGAACGCUGGCGGCGUGCUUAACACAUGCAAGUCGAGCGGUAAGGCCCUUUCGGGGGUACACGAGCGGCGAGCGGGUGAGUAACACGUGGGUGACCUGCCCUCAGCUCUGGGAUAAGCCUGGGAAACCGGGUCUAAUACUGGAUAUGACUCCAUGACGCAUGUUGUGGGGUGGAAAGCCUUGUGCGGCUGAGGAUGGGCCCGCGGCCUAUCAGCUUGUUGGGGGGUGAUGGCCUACCAAGGCGACGACGGGUAGCCGGCCUGAGAGGGCGACCGGCCACACUGGGACUGAGACACGGCCCAGACUCCUACGGGAGGCAGCAGUGGGGAAUCUUGCGCAAUGGGCGAAAGCCUGACGCAGCGACGCCGCGUGAGGGAUGACGGCCU
This 387-nucleotide ribosomal RNA is filed under the name uncultured bacterium. RNAcentral's name for it is "bacterial SSU rRNA". It matches the Rfam family "Bacterial small subunit ribosomal RNA", at positions 28 to 417 of the family's 1533-position model. The record is from RNAcentral.